GGGGCUGUAGCUCAGCUGGCUAGANNAGCGGUUGGUUCGCAAUCAACAGGCCGUGGGUUCGACUCCCAUCAGCUCCA
This 77-nucleotide transfer RNA is filed under the name Spirochaeta sp. RNAcentral describes it as "tRNA-Ala". It matches the Rfam family "tRNA". From Rfam's summary of the family: Transfer RNA (tRNA) molecules are approximately 80 nucleotides in length. Their secondary structure includes four short double-helical elements and three loops (D, anti-codon, and T loops). Further hydrogen bonds mediate the characteristic L-shaped molecular structure. tRNAs have two regions of fundamental functional importance: the anti-codon, which is responsible for specific mRNA codon recognition, and the 3' end, to which the tRNAs corresponding amino acid is attached (by aminoacyl-tRNA synthetases). tRNAs cope with the degeneracy of the genetic code in two manners: having more than one tRNA (with a specific anti-codon) for a particular amino acid; and 'wobble' base-pairing, i.e. permitting non-standard base-pairing at the 3rd anti-codon position. The record is from RNAcentral. Lineage: Bacteria; Pseudomonadati; Spirochaetota; Spirochaetia; Spirochaetales; Spirochaetaceae.